This 253-nucleotide ribosomal RNA is filed under the name uncultured bacterium. RNAcentral's name for it is "partial 16S ribosomal RNA". It matches the Rfam family "Bacterial small subunit ribosomal RNA", at positions 524 to 776 of the family's 1533-position model. The record is from RNAcentral.
UACGUAGGUGGCGAGCGUUGUCCGGAUUUACUGGGCGUAAAGAGCGCGCAGGCGGUCGUACAAGUCGCGUGUGAAAGCCCCCGGCUCAACUGGGGAGGGUCACGCGAUACUGUUCGACUCGAAGGCAGGAGAGGGUAGUGGAAUUCCCGGUGUAGUGGUGAAAUGCGUAGAUACCGGGAGGAACACCAGUGGCGAAGGCGACUACCUGGCCUGUUCUUGACGCUGAGGCGCGAAAGCUAGGGUAGCAAACGGG